Molecule: long non-coding RNA, 1440 nt
Organism: Mus musculus (house mouse)
Lineage: Eukaryota; Metazoa; Chordata; Mammalia; Rodentia; Muridae
Product: predicted gene, 51681
Exons: 3
Source: RefSeq, a predicted model, not a curated record
CAGUAGGUUCCUUGUUGCUACUUGUCUCUGCUGAGAUGGCCACAGGGUUAGCUGCUUCUCCAAUUGCACAAGACUAGGGCAGGUGGCCCGGAGCUCCUGGGGCCAGCCUUACCUUCAGGAUCAUUCCUCCCUUUGCCCACAGCCUGAGGCCAGGUCAGAAGGUGACUCCAGCUCCUCCCUGGAGAGUAAUUGGGGCUCUGAUCUUAAAUUGAACACCCUGCCUGUCCAUGGGGCUGUCUAGCUAGUCUCAACUCCUCAAGAGCAGGCACUGAGCUCACCUCUACUCUGUCAAACGAGGAGCCACCAAACCUACCCUGGCCAAUUCAAAGAGCCUGGCUAAUUCUGGGGCAUCCUGAAGCCAUGGGACCUGGCUAGGAUCACCUUCCUGCCUUACAUCCCUCAGCAAUGAUAGCAUCCAGCUGGACCACCUCUUCUCUGGGAUCAGAGAACCACUUCUAGAUUCCUCUGGCCACUUCAACCAUGUCCUGGACCAGGCUGUGGUGGCUUCUGGUACAUCGAGUGCAUGGCCUCUGUCCUGGCCUCCGCAGAAGUCUCCCAGAGCACACAGCCAGGCACAGAGCCUACUUCCCAGAGCACACAGCCAGGCUCAAAGGCCAACCUGCUGUUUUAGAGCCAGCCUGAAACAUAUGAGGAGAAGGGAUUGGGCCCAACCGAGCAGCAGAGAGGGAAGUGGAUCUUGGCUGGACCUUCAGGUGGGAUGUGUGGGAGGGUAAUCUACAGUUGGACUGGACUGUGCAGGUAGGUGCAGGACCAUCUGCUGAGUGCCAAGGCAAACAUCACCCCACAUGCUAGGGUGGCCUUCACCUUAGAGGGAGAAGAUGGAGUAGCAGCCUGUGUUCCGGCAAGGUGGCCAACUUUCAGGUCCUGUUGCUCAUCUACAAGAUGGACUUAAUAAAGCCAGACUUGUUCUAUGCAGUCUCUGCAGCCAUUUCCACAGAGGGCUUGGCCAAAGGCCUGCGUGCCAGCAUGCUGCCAACAGAGACAUUUCUUUACACCCCGUGUGUUGCCCAACAAGACCUGAGCCAUCUUCUGUUGGUUCCUUUCCAUGUUCUUCAUCCUUGGAUGAGGAAGAACCUAGAGGCGUUUUGCACAAGGCAUGCCUUGCCCUGAAGUGGAGCACCUCACAGAGCACAAAGCAAGCAUUGUGGCCUCCUAUAGACCCGCCCCUCCACACACUUGAUCCUGUGAAAAGCCUGUGAUCCCAAAUGGGAAUUGCAGUCUUGCUGAUAUCACGUCAGGACUUCAGUAGUUCUCUCUGGGAAUCAAGGAUGCACUAGCCACUGAGGGUGGCACUUGGGCCACCCUCAAAGUCCCUACCCAAAAAGGUCCAUGGGAGAAAGAGAAAGGGAUAAGAAAAUGGCCUCUAGCUCAGACAGAUGGCCAAAAGGCUGUGUGUGCUGCAUCGUUUACCUGUGGUAU